Molecule: long non-coding RNA, 585 nt
Organism: Neopelma chrysocephalum (saffron-crested tyrant-manakin)
Lineage: Eukaryota; Metazoa; Chordata; Aves; Passeriformes; Pipridae
Exons: 4
Source: RefSeq, a predicted model, not a curated record
GCCGCCGCCAGGAGAAGGGGCGGAGAGAGCGGCAGGCGGCAGGGCCGGGUUCGGAUGUGCCCUGCCAUUGCACCCCCCCCGCGGGGAGGGUCUGUGCUGCCUCGGGGACCCUGUCUGUGCUGCCAGGAGAGAGAAAUCCUUUGGGAAGCUGGGCUGGAAACAGCAACUCUGUGAACUGCUCAGCUUUUCCUAGGUGAUGAAGCUUCUGGAAAAAAGACAGAAUGCGUCGAGGUAUGUUAUUAUUGACACACCAGGGCAAAUUGAGGUAUUCACCUGGUCAGCAUCAGGAACCAUCAUAACUGAGGCCUUGGCUUCCUCUUUUCCUUCGGUUGUUGUAUAUGUGAUGGACACCUCUCGCAGUACUAACCCUAUCACUUUUAUGUCCAACAUGCUGUAUGCCUGCAGGUAAGAAAAGCUGGAAGUGCAGUCCAUCUGCUUUGAUUGCUGUGUCUCUUUGGUAGUUAUUUUGGAGGGGAAUCAUAGAGUGAUUUGGUUUGAAAGGGACCUUUACAGACCACCCUCUCUUCCAUGGGCAGGGACACCUUCCACUAUGCCAGGUUGCUCCAAGUCCCACCCAGCCUGGCC